UACGUAGGUCCCGAGCGUUGUCCGGAUUUAUUGGGCGUAAAGCGAGCGCAGGUGGUUUAUUAAGUCUGGUGUAAAAGGCAGUGGCUCAACCAUUGUAUGCAUUGGAAACUGGUAGACUUGAGUGCAGGAGAGGAGAGUGGAAUUCCAUGUGUAGCGGUGAAAUGCGUAGAUAUAUGGAGGAACACCGGUGGCGAAAGCGGCUCCCUGGCCUGUAACUGACACUGAGGCUCGAAAGCGUGGGGAGCAAGCAGG
RNAcentral lists this ribosomal RNA (252 nucleotides) under uncultured bacterium. Its description in RNAcentral is "partial 16S ribosomal RNA". It matches the Rfam family "Bacterial small subunit ribosomal RNA", at positions 524 to 776 of the family's 1533-position model. The record is from RNAcentral.